CCUCGAUAGGGAUUUAAAUUGUUCUCAUUCCAAUUGCCAGACUUUAAAAAGCCCGGCAUUGUUAUUUAUUGUCGCUACCUCCCUGUGUCAGGAUUGGGUAAUUUACGCGCCUGCUGCCUUCCUUAGAAGUGGUAGCUGUCUUUAAGGCUCCCUCUCCGGAAUCGUACCCUAAUACUCCGUUACCCGUUACUGGCAUGGUAGGCCAAUACCCUACCAUCCAAACCUGAUAGGGCAGAAACUUAUAUGAUUUAUCGCACAGAGUGCGAUCCGCACAGUUAUUAUGAUUCAACUCAAUACCGGCAAAGCCGCAUUGGUUUCUUUCUAAUAAAUGCUACCCUUCCAAAAAGUCGGGUAUUUAUGCAUGUAUUAGCUCUAGAAUUACUACGGUUAUCCAAGUAGUAAGGUACUAUCAAAUAAACUAUAACUGAUAUAAUGAGCUAUUCGCAGUUUCACAGUACAAAAUUGUUUAUACUUAGACAUGCAUGGCUUAAUCCUUGAGACAAGCGUAUGUGACNGGCAGGAUCAACCAGAUUGUCNAA
This 539-nucleotide ribosomal RNA is filed under the name Eurychasma dicksonii. RNAcentral's name for it is "partial 18S ribosomal RNA". Lineage: Eukaryota; Oomycota; Myzocytiopsidales; Eurychasmataceae. The record is from RNAcentral.